UUUUGGUUACUGAGACCCUCGAAGUCCCAUAUGAAUUGUAGCAGCAGCUAGUCAGUUUCUGCAGAGGAGCCCGCAGGGAUUGUGAUCGAGACCACGUUGAAUAUACGGAUCGCUCUGGGGAGCAUUGCCAUCCCAAGAGCACUGUCUUCUGACCGAGGAAUAUGCGUGGUGUGUCUGUCCAGGUGCCCUCACCUCCAGUGGCAUCCAUCCAGACACCAGUAUUGACACUGGCUGUGCUCAGAACUGCCUCAGCCCUGAAGACACAACUGACAAAUAGAAGGGAGCCACGCCCUGUUACAGCUGUGCCUCACUUUGUGGGUCCUUAUGUAGCUGCGCGGUGUUAAUCAGGAUCGCCCGUUCUACAUUGUGUGGCGCUGCUGCGGUGACUCCUAGUUACUUGUUUCUCUCGCUUUAUUCACUCAGGGGUAUAUCAUAGACGUCCUCCCACUGCAGACUCACCCGGUCCUUUCAGAUAGAGUGGAGGGGUCUCCAGUUGUGCAGGUGUGGUC
Molecule: non-coding RNA, 509 nt
Organism: Vicugna pacos (alpaca)
Lineage: Eukaryota; Metazoa; Chordata; Mammalia; Artiodactyla; Camelidae
Source: RefSeq, a predicted model, not a curated record